UCCCUGGUGGACUAGUGGCCAGGAUGCCGUGCUCUCACCGCAGCACUCACUGCCGUGCUGCGCUCUCACCGCCACAACCCAGUGGCUGGGGUUCGAUUCCCGGUCAGGGAA
Non-coding RNA from Pangasianodon gigas (Mekong giant catfish), 111 nucleotides. Lineage: Eukaryota; Metazoa; Chordata; Actinopteri; Siluriformes; Pangasiidae. The record is from the annotation of a GenBank genome assembly.